GACGAACCGUGCGAACGUUGUUCGGAAUCACUGGGCUUAAAGGGCGCGUAGGCGGGCUAUCAAGUCCGGGGUGAAAUCCUCCAGCUCAACUGGAGAACGGCCUCGGAUACUGUUGGUCUCGAGGGGGAUAGGGGCACACGGAACUGUGGGUGGAGCGGUGAAAUGCGUUGAUAUCCAUAGGAACUCCGGUGGCGAAAGCGGUGUGCUGGAUCCCUUCUGACGCUGAGGCGCGAAAGCCAGGGGAGCAAACGGG
RNAcentral lists this unclassified non-coding RNA (253 nucleotides) under uncultured Planctomycetia bacterium. Its description in RNAcentral is "contains 16S-23S intergenic spacer region". It matches the Rfam family "Bacterial small subunit ribosomal RNA", at positions 524 to 776 of the family's 1533-position model. The record is from RNAcentral. Lineage: Bacteria; Pseudomonadati; Planctomycetota; Planctomycetia.